AAUAGCUGAAAUACUCCCUUUUAAAAUUGUAAUAAGAAAUAAACAUGGAUAUUUUAAAAUUUUGGUUCUUGGUAUAGACAGCUCUCUGAAUAUUCAUUUACAAUGCUAUUCAUUCUAUUUGGAAUUGGCUUAUUACCAUGUUUGCACAUGACAGAACUGAAGCUAGAAAGGUUAAGCAAUGUGCACAAAGUCACAGAGUUAGGUGGUUGGAACAGGAAUAGAAACUAUUUCUUGUGAUGACAAACCCAGUGGUCUUCUCCUACAUGUGGAGGCUUUUGACUCUUUUUUGAGCUCUUCACUACUCGCUGGUUACAUGUUUCAGAUAUUCACCACCCCUGUCACCAUUACUGCCUUCCAGCUUCAUCUUCUGAUCAUUGGCUUGACAUGGAAAAAGGAAAGAAAACCUUAACAGAUCAUGGAACCCUAUGCUUCAUUAUUGUUCUUGGAAAACUGAUGACUGGGAAGCAGAUUUUGAAGUCAACUUCCAAGAAGACACAGAAGAUGAUCCGAUUCACCUGGAGGCAAACAAUAAACACUCAAAGUGAAAGGAAAUAUGGUGACUGCCUCCCCAGAACAUGGGCUUGGAACAAAAAACAAACGGAAAAUCCUCCUACAGGUUUUUGGUGGUAUACUGCUAACUACGUGAAGUUCAAGUUGUGUGUAUGUGUGUGUGUGUGUGUACCCUUUAUGUAAAUAAACCCAUGGGCUCUUUGGUAGAAAGAUGUUAUAUAAAUCAAAUAAGAAAUAAUAAAUGACAACAAGCCACUUUGUAGCAAGCUAUAAA
Molecule: long non-coding RNA, 784 nt
Organism: Equus caballus (horse)
Lineage: Eukaryota; Metazoa; Chordata; Mammalia; Perissodactyla; Equidae
Source: RefSeq, a predicted model, not a curated record